AUGGUUGCAGCACCGUUAUUUGAUGAAUGUCGCAGUUAUCUCGAAGACUUCGGGAGGUUUACUAUUGAGCAUUGUUUUAGAGAGUCAAAUAAUGUAGCUCAUGAGUUAGCGAGAUGGGGUCGUGCAAAUAGCCCAUCUCGCUGGGUUGACGCCCAUCCUGAUUUCAUUGUAAACCUUCUGGCAGACGAUGUGUCUAUCCUUUGA
RNAcentral lists this ribosomal RNA (204 nucleotides) under Triticum aestivum (bread wheat). RNAcentral describes it as "partial small subunit ribosomal RNA". Lineage: Eukaryota; Viridiplantae; Streptophyta; Magnoliopsida; Poales; Poaceae. The record is from RNAcentral.